UGCAAGUCGAACGGUAACAGGCCGCAAGGUGCUGACGAGUGGCGAACGGGUGAGUAAUGCAUCGGAACGUGCCCAGUCGUGGGGGAUAACGCAGCGAAAGCUGCGCUAAUACCGCAUACGAUCUAUGGAUGAAAGCGGGGGACCGUAAGGCCUCGCGCGAUUGGAGCGGCCGAUGUCAGAUUAGGUAGUUGGUGGGGUAAAGGCUCACCAAGCCAACGAUCUGUAGCUGGUCUGAGAGGACGACCAGCCACACUGGGACUGAGACACGGCCCAGACUCCUACGGGAGGCAGCAGUGGGGAAUUUUGGACAAUGGGCGCAAGCCUGAUCCAGCAAUGCCGCGUGCAGGAAGAAGGCCUUCGGGUUGUAAACUGCUUUUGUACGGAACGAAACGGCUCUGGUUAAUACCUGGGGCUAAUGACGGUACCGUAAGAAUAAGCACCGGCUAACUACGUGCCAGCAGCCGCGGUAAUACGUAGGGUGCAAGCGUUAAUCGGAAUUACUGGGCGUAAAGCGUGCGCAGGCGGUUUUGUAAGACAGGCGUGAAAUCCCCGGGCUCAACCUGGGAAUGGCGCUUGUGACUGCAAAGCUGGAGUGCGGCAGAGGGGGAUGGAAUUCCGCGUGUAGCAGUGAAAUGCGUAGAUAUGCGGAGGAACACCGAUGGCGAAGGCAAUCCCCUGGGCCUGCACUGACGCUCAUGCA
RNAcentral lists this ribosomal RNA (700 nucleotides) under uncultured beta proteobacterium. RNAcentral describes it as "bacterial SSU rRNA". It matches the Rfam family "Bacterial small subunit ribosomal RNA", at positions 56 to 753 of the family's 1533-position model. The record is from RNAcentral. Lineage: Bacteria; Pseudomonadati; Pseudomonadota; Betaproteobacteria.